UUUUUCCAUUGCUUUUUUCUUGGUGAGGUAGUUAAAGGGUUAAGCUAACUGUCUGCACUCAUAAACAAAGGUUUACCAGAGAGAGGACCAUAAUAAAAUCAUCUGUCUAUGACAUUAUCUACAGAUGAGUCGGAAGGGAAAAAAUACUAUGUGCAAAUGUGCAGUUCUUAAGCCUGAGAUUAUACUUUACAGCUCUCGCAAUUUGUUCACUUUAGCGCUGCACAAUCUCAGUUUUGUUUUUUAUAUUAUCUGUGAUGGCUAACUAAGACAGAGUACAUCCUGGACAGCUCACUAGCUACAGAGAGAUAGAAAAUCAUUCACACCCACACCUACAACCAUUUAAGGAUUAGCAAUCGCUCUAAAAUUGAAAGGACACUCAUACAAACAUAGGAAUAGCAUGCAAAGGCUACACGGGAAUGCAACACUGCUAACUACUGAAGCACAACAAGUCAAAAUAUUCAACAGAGUUAAAUACCAUGAACUAAAGUUACCAGUUUAUCAAAUGUAUUAGAUUUUUUUUCUUUUUCUUUAUCUUUUUUUUUUUUUUUAAACCAAUUUUAAACUUUGCUUUCCUGGUAUGAUUAAUCUGAUAUCAAAUAAAAGUUCUGAAAUGUCUUAAAACAGGCGCAAAACAUGAACCAGCAAGUUCAAGGCAUCAAGCUGUUUGCCUGAAUUUCAGCAAAGUUAGACCACUUCCUGCAUGUGUAGCCCUGACAAAGCUGUUUGUUAACAUAAAGUAUCCAGUUCUUCUGACUCUCUUUAGUCUCUGUACAGCUCUUCAGACUGUGGCAUUGUAAACAAACCAUGACGGACCCAAUGACAUUUUCCUGCUUUUCAGCACCAUUACUUGCUUUCAUCAGCGGUUGUCGUUUCCACACGGCUGGAGCUUUUCCGCCUGCCAAACACACAAACACCAACAACAACAAUAACCAGGACCCAGUGCAGACAUUUUAUGUCGGCAAGGCGUGAUUGCAGAUGCCAUGCAGGUGCGUCCACCUCCCCUGCAGCAGCACCACAGGCAUAAAGCUCAACACUAGAAUGGAAUCUGCUGCUCAUCAUCCUCACCUCAUGUGUCUCUGGAACAACGUCUCAUAUUGACCUCAGAAUCUGUUUCCAAACAUGAGUUGUGUCCUGCAGGCAGCGUCUUGAAAUCCGAGUGUAGUUCAAAGUUGAGACUGGAUUU
Long non-coding RNA from Pelmatolapia mariae (spotted tilapia), 1183 nucleotides. RefSeq lists it as uncharacterized. The transcript has 3 exons. The record is from RefSeq and is a predicted model, not a curated record. Lineage: Eukaryota; Metazoa; Chordata; Actinopteri; Cichliformes; Cichlidae.